GCCACCCUAGCUCAGGGGUAGAGCGGCUCACUCGUAAUGAGCAGGUCACGGGUUCAAAUCCCGUGGGUGGCUCCA
RNAcentral lists this transfer RNA (75 nucleotides) under Candidatus Peribacteria bacterium RIFCSPHIGHO2_01_FULL_51_9. RNAcentral's name for it is "tRNA-Thr". It matches the Rfam family "tRNA". Rfam says of the family: Transfer RNA (tRNA) molecules are approximately 80 nucleotides in length. Lineage: Bacteria; Candidatus Peregrinibacteriota; Candidatus Peribacteria. The record is from RNAcentral.